Molecule: ribosomal RNA, 492 nt
Filed under: uncultured bacterium
Lineage: Bacteria
Description: partial 16S ribosomal RNA
Rfam family: Bacterial small subunit ribosomal RNA
Source: RNAcentral
AGUGAACGCUGGCGGUAGGCCUAACACAUGCAAGUCGAACGGCAGCACAGUAAGAGCUUGCUCUUACGGGUGGCGAGUGGCGGACGGGUGAGGUAUACAUCGGAAUCUACUUUUUCGUGGGGGAUAACGUAGGGAACCUUACGCUAAUACCUCAUACGACCUACGGGUGAAAGCCGGUGAUCUUCGGACCUUGCGCGAUUGAAUGAGCCGAUGUCUGAUUAGCUAGUGGGCGGGGUAAAGGCCCACCAAGGCGACGAUCCGUAGCUGGUCUGAGAGGAUGAUCAGCAACACUGGAACUGAGACACGGUCCAGACUCCGACGGGAGGCAGCAGUGGGGAAUAUUGGACAAUGGGCGCAAGCCUGAGCCAGCCAUACCGCGUGGGUGAAGAAGGCCUUCGGGUUGUAAAGCCCUUUUGUUGGGAAAGAAAAGCAGCAGGUUAAUACCCCGCUGUUCUGGCGGUACCAAAAGAAUAAGCACCGGCUAACUUCGUG